AACGAACGCUGGCGGCAUGCCUAACACAUGCAAGUCGAACGAGACCUUCGGGUCUAGUGGCGCACGGGUGCGUAACGCGUGGGAACCUGCCCUUAGGUUCGGAAUAACUCGCCGAAAGGGGUCCGAAUACCGGAUAAUGACUUCGGACCAAAGAUUUGUCGCCUUGGGAUGGGCCCGCGUUGGAUUAGCUAGUUGGUAGGGUAAAAGCCUACCAAGGCGACGAUCCAUAGCUGGUCUGAGAGGAUGAUCAGCCACACUGGGACUGAGACACGGCCCAGACUCCUACGGGAGGCAGCAGUGGGGAAUAUUGGACUAUGGGCGGAAGCCUGAUCCAGCAAUGCCGCGUGAGUGAUGAAGGCCUUAGGGUUGUAAAGCUCUUUUACCCGGGAUGAUAAUGACAGUACCGGGAGAAUAAGCUCCGGCUAACUCCGUG
This 433-nucleotide ribosomal RNA is filed under the name uncultured bacterium. RNAcentral's name for it is "partial 16S ribosomal RNA". It matches the Rfam family "Bacterial small subunit ribosomal RNA", at positions 29 to 507 of the family's 1533-position model. The record is from RNAcentral.